AUAACCUGCCUCAUACAGGGGGAUAACAGUUAGAAAUGACUGCUAAUACCGCAUAAGCGCACAGAGAUGCAUGUCUCGGUGUCGAAAAGCUGAGGCGGUAUGAGAUGGAUCCGCGUCUGAUUAGCUGGUUGGCGGGGUAGAGGCCCACCAAGGCGACGAUCAGUAGCCGACCUGAGAGGGUGGCCGGCCACAUUGGGACUGAGACACGGCCCAAACUCCUACGGAAGGCAGCAG
RNAcentral lists this ribosomal RNA (234 nucleotides) under uncultured bacterium. Its description in RNAcentral is "partial 16S ribosomal RNA". It matches the Rfam family "Bacterial small subunit ribosomal RNA", at positions 121 to 354 of the family's 1533-position model. The record is from RNAcentral.